Long non-coding RNA from Rhododendron vialii, 805 nucleotides. RefSeq lists it as uncharacterized. The record is from RefSeq and is a predicted model, not a curated record. Lineage: Eukaryota; Viridiplantae; Streptophyta; Magnoliopsida; Ericales; Ericaceae. The transcript is spliced from 8 exons.
CCUCCGAAUACGAGAAUAAGAUCCGAUUUCCAGACCCUCUCUCUCUCUCCGAAUAUGGCAUUCCCCUCACGCAGCUUCGCCUCUACCUCCUCCCAUCAUGCAGGUUAGCCACCACCUCACUCUCCCCGCGCCGGCUGAUCGCCAAUCCCUAACGACCCAACAUCAAUUACUGCUUCCUCCCGCCUAUCUUUUAAGAGAGAGACAGUUACGGAUUAUAUAGAUUAUCGUGCAGAGGCAAAUUGUUGACUAAGUCCUAGAAUAGGGUACGACGAAUUAGAGACAACGGCUAGCAAACGGAAGCCAACACAUGUGGCCUAUGGAGAAGAAUAUUCACGGGCACAAUCUGGCAAAGAACUAUCAAAAUCAACUUUUGCGCAACGAGCAUGAUGAGAAUGAGAACGAAUUCUAAAGCAAAGCACUGCGGUCAAUGGAAAGGAAAACUCACAGUACAGAUCCUUAAGGAAUUGGUGGAGCAUUAAUUAGGGAAAAAGAAGUUUCCAAUGUCCCAAUUUCUCAUUGUUUGGUUGCAGGUGGUAGGAAAUGGAGAAAGAAAUGGUGUGGACACCAUUGAAUACGUAUGAUUAACUGGUAACACCGAAGCCGUAGAGCGGUAAAGGUCUGGCCUUGAAUACUUUUCGAGGGAUGAAAAUUUCACGGAUGGAAAGUUAGAGUUAUUUUACUGUUAAAAGCAACUUUGUUGGAGCUUUGAAGAUAGACAAAGCUUCAUAGUGAAUGUGGGUGUUUGUUAAAAAAAAAUGUAACUGUUCUCAUGCGGUUGGAAAUCUACAACUUAUGGAUUCAACUA